AUUGAACGCUGGCGGCAUGCCUUACACAUGCAAGUCGAACGGCAGCGGGGGAGAAGCUUGCCUUUCCUGCCGGCGAGUGGCGAACGGGUGAGUAAUACAUCGGAACGUGCCCUGUAGUGGGGGAUAACUAGUCGAAAGAUUAGCUAAUACCGCAUACGACCUGAGGGUGAAAGUGGGGGACCGCAAGGCCUCAUGCUAUAGGAGCGGCCGAUGUCUGAUUAGCUAGUUGGUGGGGUAAAGGCCUACCAAGGCGACGAUCAGUAGCUGGUCUGGGAGGACGAUCAGCCACACGGGGACUGCGACACGGCCCAGAGUCCUACGGGAGGCAGCAGUGGGGAAUUUCGGACAAUGGGCGAAGGCCUGAUCCAGCAAUGCCGCGUGUGUGAAGAAGGCCUUCGGGUUGUAAAGCACUUUUGUCCGGAAAGGAAUGGCUCUGGUUAAUACCUAGGGUCGAUGACGGUACCGGAAGAAUAAGGACCGGCUAACUACGUGCCAGCAGCCGCGGUAA
This 508-nucleotide ribosomal RNA is filed under the name uncultured bacterium. Its description in RNAcentral is "partial 16S ribosomal RNA". It matches the Rfam family "Bacterial small subunit ribosomal RNA", at positions 29 to 523 of the family's 1533-position model. The record is from RNAcentral.